RNAcentral lists this small RNA (30 nucleotides) under Bombyx mori (domestic silkworm). RNAcentral describes it as "ovarian small RNA-27223". Lineage: Eukaryota; Metazoa; Arthropoda; Insecta; Lepidoptera; Bombycidae. The record is from RNAcentral.
UCCCCCUCGGGACGCCGGACCGGCGGUCGU